This 29-nucleotide non-coding RNA is filed under the name Rattus norvegicus (Norway rat). Lineage: Eukaryota; Metazoa; Chordata; Mammalia; Rodentia; Muridae. The record is from RNAcentral.
UGCCAUGUAAGGGUUUGAUAUUGAUAGGU